UUAGUGGCGCACGGAUGCGUAACGCGUGGGAAUCUGCCCCUUGGUUCGGAAUAACAGUUGGAAACGACUGCUAAUACCGGAUGACGACGUAAGUCCAAAGAUUUAUCGCCGAGGGAUGAGCCCGCGUAGGAUUAGGUAGUUGGUGUGGUAAAGGCGCACCAAGCCGACGAUCCUUAGCUGGUCUGAGAGGAUGAUCAGCCACACUGGGACUGAGACACGGCCCAGACUCCUACGGGAGGCAGCAGUGGGGAAUAUUGGACAAUGGGCGAAAGCCUGAUCCAGCAAUGCCGCGUGAGUGAUGAAGGCCUUAGGGUUGUAAAGCUCUUUUACCCGGGAUGAUAAUGACAGUACCGGGAGAAUAAGCUCCGGCUAACUCCGUGCCAGCAGCCGCGGUAAUACGGAGGGAGCUAGCGUUAUUCGGAAUUACUGGGCGUAAAGCGCACGUAGGCGGCUUUGUAAGUAAGAGGUGAAAGCCCAGAGCUCAACUCUGGAAUUGCCUUUUAGACUGCAUCGCUUGAAUCAUGGAGAGGUCAGUGGAAUUCCGAGUGUAGAGGUGAAAUUCGUAGAUAUUCGGAAGA
Molecule: ribosomal RNA, 578 nt
Filed under: uncultured Sphingomonas sp.
Lineage: Bacteria; Pseudomonadati; Pseudomonadota; Alphaproteobacteria; Sphingomonadales; Sphingomonadaceae
Description: bacterial SSU rRNA
Rfam family: Bacterial small subunit ribosomal RNA
Source: RNAcentral